GCCAGGCACGGUGGCCCAUGCCUGUAAUCCUAGCACUUUGGGAGGCUGAGGUGGGUGGAUCACCUGAGGUCAGGAGUUCGAGACCAGCCUGGCCAAUAUGGUGAAAACCUGUCUCUA
This 117-nucleotide non-coding RNA is filed under the name Pan paniscus (pygmy chimpanzee). The record is from Rfam by way of RNAcentral. Lineage: Eukaryota; Metazoa; Chordata; Mammalia; Primates; Hominidae. RNAcentral also lists the same sequence under 1 other name.